UCUACCAUAUUCCCUCCUUUGCCAGCAAAGUAAACUCUCUCCUUCAUUCUCAAAUCGCUUGUCCUCGUUAUUUGGCCUCGUGGACAAGUGGCCGAACUUUUGGUAACAGUAUCCACAAAGAAAAAGGACAUUAAUGGAAAAACAGAAAGAGAAAAGUUCAUCUCAAGAAGCUACUGCAGGUCCUGGGGUAUCAGUGAAAUAAUGUGUGGGAUGACACAGCAC
Molecule: long non-coding RNA, 222 nt
Organism: Lemur catta (Ring-tailed lemur)
Lineage: Eukaryota; Metazoa; Chordata; Mammalia; Primates; Lemuridae
Exons: 3
Source: RefSeq, a predicted model, not a curated record